This is a long non-coding RNA of Bombina bombina (fire-bellied toad), 288 nucleotides long. RefSeq lists it as uncharacterized. The record is from RefSeq and is a predicted model, not a curated record. Lineage: Eukaryota; Metazoa; Chordata; Amphibia; Anura; Bombinatoridae. The transcript is spliced from 2 exons.
CUCAUCACCACCUGCGUUAUUUUCUUGAUAUUUGUGGUUGUUAACAUCUUCUUAUCGGGCAUGCUGACUGUAUUCUCUAAGGAACGCCAGUGUCCAACACCAUACGAAGAGAGGGAAAUUGUGGAGCUGCUUUGGUUGAAACUGUCCACUUUGUUUGGAAUCCGAAAGAAAUCUGAGCAAGAAAAUGCUUAAGACACUGCAUAUGCAUGCUAAAGUAGGAAGUGGAGCCAAGUAACUGUACUGAGAUUUUAGUCUAACAAUGUAUUAAAUAAAGCUUAGAAAAUCUAA